This 87-nucleotide transfer RNA is filed under the name Pseudomonadota bacterium. Its description in RNAcentral is "tRNA-Leu". It matches the Rfam family "tRNA". Rfam says of the family: Transfer RNA (tRNA) molecules are approximately 80 nucleotides in length. Their secondary structure includes four short double-helical elements and three loops (D, anti-codon, and T loops). Lineage: Bacteria; Pseudomonadati; Pseudomonadota. RNAcentral also lists the same sequence under 4 other names. The record is from RNAcentral.
GCCCAGGUGGUGAAAUUGGUAGACACGCCAGGUUGAGGGCCUGGUCCCAGCAAUGGGGUGCUGGUUCGAGUCCAGUCCUGGGCACCA